RNAcentral lists this ribosomal RNA (460 nucleotides) under uncultured bacterium. Its description in RNAcentral is "partial 16S ribosomal RNA". It matches the Rfam family "Bacterial small subunit ribosomal RNA", at positions 338 to 795 of the family's 1533-position model. The record is from RNAcentral.
CCUACGGGUGGCAGCAGUGAGGAAUAUUGGUCAAUGGACGAGAGUCUGAACCAGCCAAGUAGCGUGAAGGAUGACUGCCCUAUGGGUUGUAAACUUCUUUUGUAAAGGAAUAAAACGAGGCAAGUGUGCCUGUUUGCAUGUACUUUAUGAAUAAGAAUCGGCUAACUCCGUGCCAGCAGCCGCGGUAAUACGGAGGAUCCGAGCUUUAUCCGGAUGUAGUGGGUUUAAAGGGAGCGUAGAUGGGUUGUUAAGUCAGUUGUGAAAGUUUGCGGCUCAACCGUAAAAUUGCAAUUGAUACUGGCAGUCUUGAGUACAGUUGAGGUAGGCGGAAUUCGUGGUGUAGCGGUGAAAUGCUUAGAUAUCACGAAGAACCCCGAUUGCGAAGGCAGCUUACUAAACUGUGACUGACAUUGAUGCUCGAAAGUGUGGGUAUCAAACAGGAUUAGAUACCCUUGUAGUC